UACAAGCUACAUUGUACGUAUUUGAAUAAGUUUUAACCUCUAAUGAAAGAAUAGGGAGUUUUACAUUGAGAUCCUAAUGUCGCGCCGCCCAUGAAGCGGAAGACAGGAAGGUUUCUGCGGACACCCACUUGGUGAAGUGGUGGUUUAAAACUUACUAUGAAUAAAUACGGCAAAUGUGGCUCGUAU
This 186-nucleotide non-coding RNA is filed under the name Oceanobacillus bengalensis. RNAcentral's name for it is "6S / SsrS RNA". It matches the Rfam family "6S / SsrS RNA". From Rfam's summary of the family: E. coli 6S RNA was the first non coding RNA to be sequenced, but its function was unknown until recently. It consists of 184 nucleotides that fold into an extended hairpin structure with a large single-stranded internal bulge. Lineage: Bacteria; Bacillati; Bacillota; Bacilli; Caryophanales; Bacillaceae. The record is from Rfam by way of RNAcentral.